This 30-nucleotide non-coding RNA is filed under the name Mus musculus (house mouse). The record is from RNAcentral. Lineage: Eukaryota; Metazoa; Chordata; Mammalia; Rodentia; Muridae.
UAACAAUGGGUCUACUCUGUGGAGAAAGGA